This 2922-nucleotide ribosomal RNA is filed under the name Escherichia coli. RNAcentral's name for it is "LSU rRNA". It matches the Rfam family "Bacterial large subunit ribosomal RNA". The record is from RNAcentral. Lineage: Bacteria; Pseudomonadati; Pseudomonadota; Gammaproteobacteria; Enterobacterales; Enterobacteriaceae.
GGUUAAGCGACUAAGCGUACACGGUGGAUGCCCUGGCAGUCAGAGGCGAUGAAGGACGUGCUAAUCUGCGAUAAGCGUCGGUAAGGUGAUAUGAACCGUUAUAACCGGCGAUUUCCGAAUGGGGAAACCCAGUGUGAUUCGUCACACUAUCAUUAACUGAAUCCAUAGGUUAAUGAGGCGAACCGGGGGAACUGAAACAUCUAAGUACCCCGAGGAAAAGAAAUCAACCGAGAUUCCCCCAGUAGCGGCGAGCGAACGGGGAGGAGCCCAGAGCCUGAAUCAGUGUGUGUGUUAGUGGAAGCGUCUGGAAAGGCGCGCGAUACAGGGUGACAGCCCCGUACACAAAAAUGCACAUACUGUGAGCUCGAUGAGUAGGGCGGGACACGUGGUAUCCUGUCUGAAUAUGGGGGGACCAUCCUCCAAGGCUAAAUACUCCUGACUGACCGAUAGUGAACCAGUACCGUGAGGGAAAGGCGAAAAGAACCCCGGCGAGGGGAGUGAAAAAGAACCUGAAACCGUGUACGUACAAGCAGUGGGAGCCUCUUUUAUGGGGUGACUGCGUACCUUUUGUAUAAUGGGUCAGCGACUUAUAUUCUGUAGCAAGGUUAACCGAAUAGGGGAGCCGAAGGGAAACCGAGUCUUAACCGGGCGUUAAGUUGCAGGGUAUAGACCCGAAACCCGGUGAUCUAGCCAUGGGCAGGUUGAAGGUUGGGUAACACUAACUGGAGGACCGAACCGACUAAUGUUGAAAAAUUAGCGGAUGACUUGUGGCUGGGGGUGAAAGGCCAAUCAAACCGGGAGAUAGCUGGUUCUCCCCGAAAGCUAUUUAGGUAGCGCCUCGUGAAUUCAUCUCCGGGGUAGAGCACUGUUUCGGCAAGGGGGUCAUCCCGACUUACCAACCCGAUGCAAACUGCGAAUACCGGAGAAUGUUAUCACGGGAGACACACGGCGGGUGCUAACGUCCGUCGUGAAGAGGGAAACAACCCAGACCGCCAGCUAAGGUCCCAAAGUCAUGGUUAAGUGGGAAACGAUGUGGGAAGGCCCAGACAGCCAGGAUGUUGGCUUAGAAGCAGCCAUCAUUUAAAGAAAGCGUAAUAGCUCACUGGUCGAGUCGGCCUGCGCGGAAGAUGUAACGGGGCUAAACCAUGCACCGAAGCUGCGGCAGCGACACUGUGUGUUGUUGGGUAGGGGAGCGUUCUGUAAGCCUGUGAAGGUGUACUGUGAGGUAUGCUGGAGGUAUCAGAAGUGCGAAUGCUGACAUAAGUAACGAUAAAGCGGGUGAAAAGCCCGCUCGCCGGAAGACCAAGGGUUCCUGUCCAACGUUAAUCGGGGCAGGGUGAGUCGACCCCUAAGGCGAGGCCGAAAGGCGUAGUCGAUGGGAAACAGGUUAAUAUUCCUGUACUUGGUGUUACUGCGAAGGGGGGACGGAGAAGGCUAUGUUGGCCGGGCGACGGUUGUCCCGGUUUAAGCGUGUAGGCUGGUUUUCCAGGCAAAUCCGGAAAAUCAAGGCUGAGGCGUGAUGACGAGGCACUACGGUGCUGAAGCAACAAAUGCCCUGCUUCCAGGAAAAGCCUCUAAGCAUCAGGUAACAUCAAAUCGUACCCCAAACCGACACAGGUGGUCAGGUAGAGAAUACCAAGGCGCUUGAGAGAACUCGGGUGAAGGAACUAGGCAAAAUGGUGCCGUAACUUCGGGAGAAGGCACGCUGAUAUGUAGGUGAAGUCCCUCGCGGAUGGAGCUGAAAUCAGUCGAAGAUACCAGCUGGCUGCAACUGUUUAUUAAAAACACAGCACUGUGCAAACACGAAAGUGGACGUAUACGGUGUGACGCCUGCCCGGUGCCGGAAGGUUAAUUGAUGGGGUCAGCGCAAGCGAAGCUCUUGAUCGAAGCCCCGGUAAACGGCGGCCGUAACUAUAACGGUCCUAAGGUAGCGAAAUUCCUUGUCGGGUAAGUUCCGACCUGCACGAAUGGCGUAAUGAUGGCCAGGCUGUCUCCACCCGAGACUCAGUGAAAUUGAACUCGCUGUGAAGAUGCAGUGUACCCGCGGCAAGACGGAAAGACCCCGUGAACCUUUACUAUAGCUUGACACUGAACAUUGAGCCUUGAUGUGUAGGAUAGGUGGGAGGCUUUGAAGUGUGGACGCCAGUCUGCAUGGAGCCGACCUUGAAAUACCACCCUUUAAUGUUUGAUGUUCUAACGUGGACCCGUGAUCCGGGUUGCGGACAGUGUCUGGUGGGUAGUUUGACUGGGGCGGUCUCCUCCUAAAGAGUAACGGAGGAGCACGAAGGUUGGCUAAUCCUGGUCGGACAUCAGGAGGUUAGUGCAAUGGCAUAAGCCAGCUUGACUGCGAGCGUGACGGCGCGAGCAGGUGCGAAAGCAGGUCAUAGUGAUCCGGUGGUUCUGAAUGGAAGGGCCAUCGCUCAACGGAUAAAAGGUACUCCGGGGAUAACAGGCUGAUACCGCCCAAGAGUUCAUAUCGACGGCGGUGUUUGGCACCUCGAUGUCGGCUCAUCACAUCCUGGGGCUGAAGUAGGUCCCAAGGGUAUGGCUGUUCGCCAUUUAAAGUGGUACGCGAGCUGGGUUUAGAACGUCGUGAGACAGUUCGGUCCCUAUCUGCCGUGGGCGCUGGAGAACUGAGGGGGGCUGCUCCUAGUACGAGAGGACCGGAGUGGACGCAUCACUGGUGUUCGGGUUGUCAUGCCAAUGGCACUGCCCGGUAGCUAAAUGCGGAAGAGAUAAGUGCUGAAAGCAUCUAAGCACGAAACUUGCCCCGAGAUGAGUUCUCCCUGACCCUUUAAGGGUCCUGAAGGAACGUUGAAGACGACGACGUUGAUAGGCCGGGUGUGUAAGCGCAGCGAUGCGUUGAGCUAACCGGUACUAAUGAACCGUGAGGCUUAACCUUACAACGCCGAAGGUGUUUUG